Molecule: ribosomal RNA, 508 nt
Filed under: uncultured bacterium
Lineage: Bacteria
Description: partial 16S ribosomal RNA
Rfam family: Bacterial small subunit ribosomal RNA
Source: RNAcentral
GAUGAACGCUAGCUACAGGCUUAACACAUGCAAGUCGAGGGGAAACGACAUCGAAAGCUUGCUUUUGAUGGGCGUCGACCGGCGCACGGGUGAGUAACGCGUAUCCAACCUGCCCACCACUUGGGGAUAACCUUGCGAAAGUAAGACUAAUACCCAAUGAUAUCUCUAGAAGACAUCUGAAAGAGUUUAAAGAUUUAUCGGUGAUGGAUGGGGAUGCGUCUGAUUAGCUUGUUGGCGGGGUAACGGCCCACCAAGGCUACGAUCAGUAGGGGGUCUGAGAGGAAGGUCCCCCACAUUGGAACUGAGACACGGUCCAAACUCCUACGGGAGGCAGCAGUGAGGAAUAUUGGUCAAUGGGCGAGAGCCUGAACCAGCCAAGUAGCGUGCAGGAUGACGGCCCUAUGGGUUGUAAACUGCUUUUAUAAGGGAAUAAAGUGAGCCUCGUGAGGCUUUUUGCAUGUACCUUAUGAAUAAGGACCGGCUAAUUCCGUGCCAGCCGCCGCAGUAA